RNAcentral lists this ribosomal RNA (252 nucleotides) under uncultured bacterium. RNAcentral's name for it is "partial 16S ribosomal RNA". It matches the Rfam family "Bacterial small subunit ribosomal RNA", at positions 524 to 776 of the family's 1533-position model. The record is from RNAcentral.
UACGUAGGGUGCGAGCGUUAAUCGGAAUUACUGGGCGUAAAGCGUGCGCAGGCGGUGCUGUAAGACAGGCGUGAAAUCCCCGGGCUUAACCUGGGAAUGGCGCUUGUGACUGCAGUGCUGGAGUGCGGCAGAGGGGGAUGGAAUUCCGCGUGUAGCAGUGAAAUGCGUAGAUAUGCGGAGGAACACCGAUGGCGAAGGCAAUCCCCUGGGCCUGCACUGACGCUCAUGCACGAAAGCGUGGGAGCAAACAGG